This 148-nucleotide non-coding RNA is filed under the name Homo sapiens (human). The record is from Rfam by way of RNAcentral. Lineage: Eukaryota; Metazoa; Chordata; Mammalia; Primates; Hominidae.
GCUGGGUGUGGUGGCGGGCACCUGUAAUCCCAGCUACUCAGGAGGCUGAGGCAGAAGAAUCGCUUGAACCUGGGAGGCAGAGGUUGCAGUGAGCCGAGAUCGUGCCACUGCACUCCAGCCUGGGCAACAGAGCGAGACUCUGUCUCAA